CUCUAUAAAUGAGACUUUACCAUGACUCUUCAGGUCUGAUCCAUAGCUGGAUACUGAUUGUAUUUCUGCAUGCAAUGUGCAACAAUUUCCUUUGAAGGUUUAACUACCAUCUGUCAUUGGUGAAGAAAGUAUCUCGGACAGUGAAUGGUUCUUCAUAGUGGUGUCAAGCAAAAGAAAAACCAAACCUGUCAUUGUCAUCUAUGUGUAGAAAAUUACUGAGAGCACCUCUGUUAGAAUUUUAGUGUUUAAGAACUGUACAGGGCAUGGUAACUAUGAGAAUGCUGCUCUACAAAAUCAAAUUGAAAAGGUAACCUUUGUUAAUUAGCAUAUUUGAAUAAAUAAUCUCGAAAGUACAUUCAUUGUUACUGCACUUGCAUUGCU
This is a non-coding RNA of Lonchura striata (white-rumped munia), 381 nucleotides long. The record is from RefSeq and is a predicted model, not a curated record. NCBI's taxonomy places the organism in Eukaryota, Metazoa, Chordata, Aves, Passeriformes, Estrildidae.